AUGCAGAAGCACCGUCCACCGGCGAGGAGAAGUAGUACCGUCAGCCACCGAGGAUCCACCGUGGUUCUUCCUCCAUCGGCAAUGUCUUUUCCUGCUGAUCUUCUUUCCUCCGCCCAGCCUACAGAUUUCAAGAGGGGAGAUCUGGAUGCUGCGCACCGCGCCCUGCUUGGAUCUGAUGGAGUGGGCGAGGUAGUGGUCGGGGCAUGGGAUGGCGCCUUCAUCAUCAGACUAUUGGGAUUCAGCAUAUUUCUGCAGUCUUCUUCAGAGAUCAGGAGGGUUCGAUUCAACACAACUCCGGGCUUGGGUUGCCAUCAAACAAAAUCAGCUCGACAGUAUUCCUCUUUCUUGCUUCUUAUUAGUCAAAGUCUGAACUCAAUUUCUGUAUUUUAG
RNAcentral lists this ribosomal RNA (390 nucleotides) under Triticum aestivum (bread wheat). Its description in RNAcentral is "partial small subunit ribosomal RNA". The record is from RNAcentral. Lineage: Eukaryota; Viridiplantae; Streptophyta; Magnoliopsida; Poales; Poaceae.